Molecule: ribosomal RNA, 484 nt
Filed under: uncultured bacterium
Lineage: Bacteria
Description: partial 16S ribosomal RNA
Rfam family: Bacterial small subunit ribosomal RNA
Source: RNAcentral
AUUGAACGCUGGCGGCAGGCCUAACACAUGCAAGUCGAGCGGAUGAAGGGAGCUUGCUCCUGGAUUCAGCGGCGGACGGGUGAGUAAUGCCUAGGAAUCUGCCUGGUAGUGGGGGAUAACGUCAGGAAACGGGCGCUAAUACCGCAUACGUCCUGAGGAAGAAAGUGGGGGAUCUUCGGACCUCACGCUAUCAGAUGAGCCUAGGUCGGAUUAGCUAGUUGGUGGGGUAAAGGCCUACCAAGGCGACGAUCCGUAACUGGUCUGAGAGGAUGAUCAGUCACACUGGAACUGAGACACGGUCCAGACUCCUACGGGAGGCAGCAGUGGGGAAUAUUGGACAAUGGGCGAAAGCCUGAUCCAGCCAUGCCGCGUGUGUGAAGAAGGUCUUCGGAUUGUAAAGCACUUUAAGUUGGGAGGAAGGGCAGUAAGUUAAUACCUUGCUGUUUUGACGUUACCAACAGAAUAAGCACCGGCUAACUUCGUG